CCUACGGGUGGCAGCAGUGAGGAAUAUUGGUCAAUGGUCGGGAGACUGAACCAGCCAAGCCGCGUGAGGGAUGAAGGUACAGAGUAUCGUAAACCUCUUUUGUCAGGGAAUAAAGGCGGGGACGUGUCCCCGGAUGAGUGUACCUGAAGAAAAAGCAUCGGCUAACUCCGUGCCAGCAGCCGCGGUAAUACGGAGGAUGCGAGCGUUAUCCGGAUGUAUGGGGUUUAAAGGGUGCGCAGGUGGUGUGUUAAGUCAGCGGUCAAAGCCGGGGGCUCAACCUCGGCCCGCCGUUGAAACUGGCAGUAUUGAGUUUGAGAGAGGUAGGCGGAAUGCGUGGUGUAGCGGUGAAAUGCAUAGAUAUCGCGCAGAACGCCGAUUGCGAAGGCAGCAUGCC
This 394-nucleotide ribosomal RNA is filed under the name uncultured bacterium. RNAcentral describes it as "partial 16S ribosomal RNA". It matches the Rfam family "Bacterial small subunit ribosomal RNA", at positions 338 to 730 of the family's 1533-position model. The record is from RNAcentral.